Molecule: long non-coding RNA, 949 nt
Organism: Eriocheir sinensis (Chinese mitten crab)
Lineage: Eukaryota; Metazoa; Arthropoda; Malacostraca; Decapoda; Varunidae
Exons: 3
Source: RefSeq, a predicted model, not a curated record
GGCUGGAACAGUGUAUAAGGGGUUGAAACUCUUUGUAUUGUGUUUAGAAUAGUGUACGAGAGGUUGAAACAGUGUAUAUGGGGUUGAAACUGCUUGUAUUGUGUUUAGAAUAGUGUACGAGAGGCUGGAACAGUGUAUAUGGGGUUGAAACUGCUUGUAUUGUGUUUAGAAUAGUGUACGAGAGGCUGGAACAGUGUAUAUGGGGUUGAAACUGUUUGUAUUGUGUUUAGAAUAGUGUAUGAGAGGCUGGAACAGUGUAUAUGGGGUUGAAACUGUUUGUAUUGUGUUUAGAAUAGUGUAUGAGAGGUUGGAACAGUGUAUAUGGGGUUGAAACUGUUUGUAUUGUGUUUAGAAUAGUGUAUGAGAGGCUGGAACAGUGUAUAUGGGGUUGAAACUGUUUGUAUUGUGUUUAGAAUAGUGUAUGAGAGGUUGGAACAGUGUAUAUGGGGUUGAAACUGUUUGUAUUGUGUUUAGAAUAGUGUACGAGAGGCUGGAACAGUGCAAAUGGGGUUGAAAUAAAAAUCUUAGGGGUUUGGUCAUGGAGGUAGAAUUGGUGGAGUUGACACAGCCCACUAACCCCAUUCAUUGAGGUGAAGCCGACGAACUGUCAAAUUUACGGCCAAAAGAUGGGGGUGGGCGAGCCUGGCCGAGCCCAUUAGAGGGAGCCUGACCUGACAACACUUGGCCGUAAAAAUGACAUCUCGGGCGGAUUCACUUAAUUGGGGCUGAUGUCGACUCCACCGAUUCUACCUCCAUGGGUUUGAUUCAGUGUAUGAGAUGUAUUAAUAAUGUAUAGAGAAGUGAAACAAGUUAAUAAGGGGUUGAAACAUGAGCGGUCAAAAUAGCAAGCAAUUUGAAACAGUGUAUGAGGGGUUGUACGUCAAGUGUUUAUAUUUUUUUCACUGGAGUCCACACAAAAUACUUUAACAUAACAUUCCAAAGAACUCAU